UACCUUGCUAUUGCUUUGUCUUACAAACUUGCCAUCAUUAUCACUCCAAAGCUGUAGCCUAGUCUUAAACUUGUGAGUCUUAAAACUUUAAUCCUUCUAGAGUCUGUGCCUCUUCUUCUCUGUCCUCUCUCUUUCUGGUGUAGCAUAGGCUGUGCAGGGUGAAUUGAGGAAUGUGCUCCACCCCCCGCACCUCCCUCUGUUUUCUCAAUGAGUCGUGUUGUGUGUUUAACUGUCAUCCUCAGGUAAUCUUGUAGACCAGUUAUUAACUAUGGUUAUCUAUAACCCCAGACUCCGGAUGUUAAAAACGUUCUGGUUUUAUCAGACAGAGUUCGUUUUUGAAACAGGAACCUAUUUUAUCAGCCGGAGACAGGAGUUUGGAACUACAGACUAUAUAAUAAUCUGGUUGUACCAGAAGUAACGGCCCCCAGCCCCUCACCAGUUAUUUCCCACAUGCAGAGCAGCACUCGGGUGUUUUGUUUUCUUUUUUUUUCUUACUUCUGUAAGUACCCUACCAGAAAUCUAGAGGUCUUCACACUAGUGACCUGAAACCAGAGCGAUGACCCUUCAAAGAGAACACGGUACGCAUUCAGCCUUUCCUCCGUAACUUAAGAAAUAGCAAAAAUCGACACUUUGUAUUUUCAUUCCUGCGUGUUUUCAAUUAACAGUUUUUGACUUAAUCGGCAAUGAGCUUCAUUCAACCGAAUAUCACCUUGAAGAUUUCUACUCAGAGGAGCAAAUAGGUUCUACAAGGGAGAAUGGCAUUCCAUCAGAGCAGGUUGUAGAUCUCACAGGAGAAGUCGAUGGUGCGAGCGAUUGUGAACAGUACUUUAUGCAGGGUCUCUCCCCUACCUUUUACGAGGAGAACGCUCCGGUUCUGGAAUCGGAUCAGCCCUCGGUUUCAGUACCGCAAGCGUACAUAACACCGGGGUCCCCGGAACACGAUGAGCCGGAUGUGUCCCCGGAAUCACCUGUUGAUGAUGUAGAGCGCUCCAGUCAGGCCGCAGAUGGGAGAUCACAUAACGGAUCACCGGUAGAACCGCGGGGACUGACAGCGGGGGGAAAUCAUUCAUCCGGAUCCAGCAGAACCGUGUACGCCGCUGAAUCAGACUGAGCCUAUACCGAUCAACGGACCUCGGAAAAGGGAACACCGUAGAAGGCUCAUUUCAACCAGCAGUAGCAGUAGCAGUAGUAGGAGCAGCAGGCCAACCACAAGCAUUAAGUGAAAUUGUUUAUUAUAAUGCUCAGGGGCUGCGCAUUUUAUUUAGCUCAUGUAAUAUCAUUAACCAGCCAACAGACGUCGCUCUAAAACCAUUAACCUAGCAAAUAUGCAGUCAUAAUAAAAUAGUAUAGCCUAUAUACACAGUUUCCCGUGAUACAAUGUUGCUGAUUAUUAGGAUAUACAAUUAAUGAGUUAACAGUAAUCCACACUAAUUUCUCAAAUACAACACCAUGUCAAAUGUUCUAUGCACCAAGUAGUCUUAUGAGUUAUUUAACCUGACUUUAAAAGCUAUUUUGCUUCUUUUCAUAAAGUAAGCUAUUACUGUGGUGUUUGUUUGUUUGUUUUGCACUUUGCACUACAGUGUUUUGGUACUGAUGUCUGACAUUCAGGGUAUUUAGUUACAAGAUAAUGUAAGAGUUUUAAAAAACUUUAAUGAUGCCAUGCAAAUAAUUUUUAAAAAACUAGUUUGCUUGUUUGCUAUAAAGUAUUAAUGUAGAGAUUUUUAAGGGUGAAGCCUGACUUUCAGUAUUAAAAUACACAAAAGAGGUUAAAGUGUCUUUGUUUUUGUCUCCCUCCAGCAAACAGACCCCGACGAUCCGUGAGAGGCUGUCAGAAUUGCUGUCGGACUGCCCAUGACAACUAGUUUUAAUGAGUAAUGCUUUCCGACUAAUGGGUG
Molecule: long non-coding RNA, 1895 nt
Organism: Micropterus dolomieu (smallmouth bass)
Lineage: Eukaryota; Metazoa; Chordata; Actinopteri; Centrarchiformes; Centrarchidae
Exons: 3
Source: RefSeq, a predicted model, not a curated record